RNAcentral lists this ribosomal RNA (615 nucleotides) under Actinodaphne obovata. RNAcentral describes it as "eukaryotic LSU rRNA". The stretch from base 186 to 341 matches the Rfam family "5.8S ribosomal RNA". The record is from RNAcentral. Lineage: Eukaryota; Viridiplantae; Streptophyta; Magnoliopsida; Laurales; Lauraceae.
GCUCGCGGCGCGCGGCCCCCCGGGGGGGGCGCGUCCCGACGAGCUCCGAACAACCCUCUGGGCGCGGCGAGCGCCAAGGAAUAGAAGCGGAAGGGGCGGCGGCCUCACCCGGUGCGAGCGCGCCCCGGCCGGGGACGCAGCAGCGGAGUGGGGAUCCGCCGCCCGUCUGUGAACACCUCUGAGACGACUCUCGGCAACGGAUAUCUCGGCUCUCGCAUCGAUGAAGAACGUAGCGAAAUGCGAUACUUGGUGUGAAUUGCAGAAUCCCGUGAACCAUCGAGUCUUUGAACGCAAGUUGCGCCCGAGGCCACUCGGCCGAGGGCACGCCUGCCUGGGCGUCACGCCACCCAUCGCCCCCGACGCGGCAUUCCCACGCCCGGCCGGGGAGCGGAGACUGGCCGUCCGUGCCCGAGUCCUCGGAGCGCGGUCGGCAGAAAAGGAGGGCACCGUGCGGCGCGGCGCGGCGUGUGGGGGUUUGAGAGGCGAUUCGUCGCCGAUCGUACGUCGCGCCCGCAUUCCGCCGCGCGCAGUGUCACCCGUGGGACCAGACCCGCCCGCAGCCGCGGGCGCUCGGACCGCGACCCCAGGUCAGGCGUGGCCACCCGCUGAAUUUAA